AUUCAAUAUGAGGGAUAGAGCCUGGGAAGCUUGGAAGGCUGUUGAAGGGAGGAAGCCAAAGGAGGAGGCUAUGAGUGACUACCUCACCAAGGUUAAACGGCUGCUCGAGGCAGCUGCUACUACUGCUUAUGCUACUUUGUCACAUCUUGCUCUAUGUAGUACCAUGGUGUCCUCGAUAUCGAAGUAAAGAUCAUGCUGGACUAGGAUCCUAAAAGAAAGCAGGGCACCAUGACUCCUUUGCCAGAUCAUGUUACAAUUCAUGCCCCAAAGGAGGAAGAGGAGUUACACUCCAGAAGAAUUUGAAUGCUACAACCUUUACAAAAGGAAUUAGGAUUACAUUUCUUCUUCAUAAGCUUCUGGCAUGUAACAAGAAAAAGUUCUUCUGAUUUAUGCGCUUGAACUAGUCGUAGAUUAACAUGAAGGAAGAUUGGGAGUCCUUAGGCCCAUAUCUUAGUUUGUUCCAAUCUUCUCAUGAGUGUUAUUUGUUCUUAUCAUUUGUUUUGAAAACCGACGUGGUUACUCCCACAAAUUUUUAUUGUUUUGUAGACUUGAUAUUAGUUUUUUGAAUUCGUAUGUAACUUCCAAUGCUGGAAUAGUAGACUCAGAUUGGUUGUUUAAAUUCAUUCAAAAUUCUGAAUA
Non-coding RNA from Musa acuminata subsp. malaccensis (wild Malaysian banana), 639 nucleotides. Lineage: Eukaryota; Viridiplantae; Streptophyta; Magnoliopsida; Zingiberales; Musaceae. The record is from RefSeq and is a predicted model, not a curated record.